UAGCCUACGGGAGGCAGCAGUGGGGGAUAUUGCACAAUGGGGGAAACCCUGAUGCAGCGACGCCGCGUGAGCGAUGAAGUAUUUCGGUAUGUAAAGCUCUAUCAGCAGGGACGAAAAAAGACGGUACCUGACUAAGAAGCCCCGGCUAACUACGUGCCAGCAGCCGCGGUAAUACGUAGGGGGCAAGCGUUAUCCGGAUUUACUGGGUGUAAAGGGAGCGUAGACGGCAAUACAAGUCGGAAGUGAAAUACACGGG
RNAcentral lists this ribosomal RNA (256 nucleotides) under uncultured bacterium. Its description in RNAcentral is "partial 16S ribosomal RNA". It matches the Rfam family "Bacterial small subunit ribosomal RNA", at positions 335 to 607 of the family's 1533-position model. The record is from RNAcentral.